AUUCUGCUGAGCUCAGUCGGUUAGAGUGUGGUGUUGAUAACACCAAGGUUGCAGGAUUGAUCCCAGUAUGGGACA
Non-coding RNA from Podarcis lilfordi (Lilford's wall lizard), 75 nucleotides. NCBI's taxonomy places the organism in Eukaryota, Metazoa, Chordata, Lepidosauria, Squamata, Lacertidae. The record is from the annotation of a GenBank genome assembly.